UCUGUUUAAGUCUCAAUAGUCAACACAUACUCUGACUUUCCCAUCUUUAUUUGGAACUGGCACAAUGUUGGCUAACAAGGUUGAGUACUCAACCACUCUAGGGACUUUGGCUUUGAACUAUUUAGUGACUUCCUCCUUAAUUUUCAGGCUCAUAUCUGGUUUGAAUUUCCUGAGUUUCUGCUUCACUGGCGGGCACAUGGGAUUUGUAGGCAACUUGUGAGCCACUAUAGACG
RNAcentral lists this long non-coding RNA (233 nucleotides) under Nicotiana benthamiana. RNAcentral's name for it is "long non-coding RNA (NBEN_LNC036504)". The record is from RNAcentral. Lineage: Eukaryota; Viridiplantae; Streptophyta; Magnoliopsida; Solanales; Solanaceae.